CUAAGAAAGAGUGAAGACUUUUCCAUUUUGCCACUCUUUAUCAGCUAAAGACGGCAUGACACGGCGACUAUCGCCUUCUCAGAUGUCCGGAGCCGGACUUGGGAUCGCCGCAAUAUCAUACGUGGUGGUCGAUUACAUGAGAUACGUGUCACCGUCGGCGCAUUCUCGUCUUCAGCCUGUUCUUUGGUCGGUCCUGGUUCUUGCCGUCGUUACGCGUGUCCCUUUCUACAGGCACUGGCCUAAAGAGCUACGAGCAGCGAUCCCUUUCCUCGCUUCGAUCGUCUUUCUGCUUGGAGCUCUUCUCUUCGAAGCUCUUUGUGUUCGCUCUGUCACCGCCGUUCUUGGCUGAGAUUGGCACCGGGAUACGUCUGUAACGACCCAAAUCUUGUCCCGAAAAAAAUUAGCCCAAGACUUUUGGGGAUGGCAAAGCCCUGCCGGAAAGUCACCGGAAUAGCCACAAAUAGCCACCAUGAAAGAGAAGCCAUCCUACCAUCCGAAAAGAGAGAGUAGAGCUCUGCAGACACGUUUUAGGGGAAUAGAAGAACGAUCAAUCAAAUAUAAGUAUUUCGAAGCUAUAUUUUUAGUUUAUGUUCUACACUCAUAGAUCUAUGUGUAUUAGAAAGCAGAUAGUCAUUUGGAAUUUUUAUCUAAGAGUUAUGGUUGUUUC
Molecule: long non-coding RNA, 667 nt
Organism: Brassica oleracea var. oleracea
Lineage: Eukaryota; Viridiplantae; Streptophyta; Magnoliopsida; Brassicales; Brassicaceae
Exons: 3
Source: RefSeq, a predicted model, not a curated record